This 62-nucleotide transfer RNA is filed under the name Placobdella lamothei. RNAcentral's name for it is "transfer RNA Valine". Lineage: Eukaryota; Metazoa; Annelida; Clitellata; Rhynchobdellida; Glossiphoniidae. The record is from RNAcentral.
CAGAUCAUAGCAUAUAUUAAUGCCUCUUACUUACAUUAAGAAGAAAACCUUGUUUGAUCUGA